GCUGCACGGCGUUAGGUUAUUCCACCCGAUCUCCUCCCUUCUGGAACCUCCGGUCCUCCUCGAUCUCGCCCUCCUCCAUCUCCUCUGCGCCCGCCGAUGUGGGCCGCGUCUCCGUGUCCUCGGCCAUGCCGGCGGCGGCAGCGAUCCGGUCUGGCGUCGGUGCCGACGUGGUUCCCGUCUCAUCCCCUUUCCCAUUAAUCCCGUGUCUGGACCAAGCACGACACCACCUCGGUGUUGCACGUUGCGACAAAUGCCCACCCGGGCUCAAACCCCCUCCCCCACGAGCUCCUCCUCCUCGACGCGCCGCUCUCUUCCUCCCUUCUCUCCUCCGCUGGCCGCUUGGUCGUAGAACUAGUCAGGGCAGGGGACAACAUGGCCGCCACCAAACAGCAGCCGCCCCUAUACAUUGUCGUCGCCGACGACCGCCAGAGGAGCAGCUUCCCCUGCACGCGCCCCAUCCUGCAGAGCGCGCUCCAGCUCAUGGGCUGCAAGCCACACCACACCUUCAAGGUCUGUCUUCCCCCAUCUUGCUUGUCCCCCAAUCUGUCAGCUCACUUCUUUUCGCUUCGGUUCAGUCUGAAUCUUUAGAUUAGACUCAGUAUCCUACCAUCUCUGCCGCAUCCCUGAACCUCCAUAGCAAGCGAUGUAGAUCAGUUUUUUUUGGUAUUCCAUACUCCUGAUAUCCUACCUCAAUUGGCUGAUGGGAUCAGUCUCAUAGUGUUUUUCGUUACAAGUAGCGAGCGAUGUACAUCUGCCUCAUAUCCUGCUUCAAUUGCUGAACCUUCAGAGUGUAUUUAAUUGCAGUAUGAUGUUCACAGCAGGGGCGGAGCUACUAGGAGCCUCCCUGAUGCAUAGGCACCAGGGUCGAUGUUGAUUUCUUGAAGCGAUUGUGUAGAGUUGUUUGGUCGUGCACCAGGUUAGGCUGACAGUGGUGCAUCAGGUACAGAGACAAUCCCACGGCAGCCUUGUUCGGAACUGGUUCAUGGGUAGGCCAGGUCUUGUUCAGACGUGGCCAGGCCUUGGCGUAGCCUUGUGGGCUGUAGCCUUUUGGGUAGGUUUGGUGUGGCUGGGCAUCAAGGCGUCAAUGCCCUUAGGUGUUGUAGCGUCACGCCGACACGCGAUCACUCGACGAACCACAGCGGAUGAGCGAAGCUGCGCUGGGCUCGAGCUUUACAUCUAGCAUCAUCCAUGCUAAUCCGAUCAGCCACUGACCUCAGCUCCAGCUCAAAGGUAGAGUAUGACGUAUAGAUGUAGUAAAUCUUAAAUCUCGGGUUAACCGUUGCAAAAAUUGUGCUUUUAGGCGGUAUCUUCUUUAGAUUUUUUUUAGUUCUAUGUACGUGGGUAUUCUGAAGUUGAGAAUUCAGUUCAUUUACUUGACUUUAUCAAAUGUGGACAGCCACAAGACUGGAGACGGGAGACUUUGUGUAUAGUCUAAUAAUAUUGCAAUAAGUCGCUCCAUCGUCGUAUUUUCCCUCCUUUUUUGCAAUAAUUGUUCAUUCCCAAUUUUUCAGAAACUAUUGCCAAUGUACUAGGCCCCGUUUGAUAGCAAAGUAUUUUCUAAGCAUUUCAAGAAUACUGCAGUUUUUUAGAUUACCAUAGUUUUAUUUACAAUGAGCUGUUUGAUUGCCGCUAAAACUGUAGUUUUAAUAUUGUAGUAUUCGAUAAACUGCAGUUUUUUCUCUGUAUAAUAAAGAGAACCCCAAACCUGUUUUAAAAAUACAGAGAAGGCGAAAAGAACCCCAGAUUUUUGAAGUAUUCGACAAUUCAGAUUCAGGUAUCCUUGUUCAAACUAUACCACAACAAACUACACCUGGUACUUUUAGUAUGGGGUGGGGCUGCGAGUGCAUGGAACGGUGGCUCAGCUCGGCUCAGCCGGCGGGAAGGAGUGAGAGGGACAUAUGAGCUGGUUGUUUCUUCCUCCGGGCUCCUGACGGGAUGGCCCGUAUGUUAGCUAGCUGAGCAUGUUGAUCAGCUCCGGCCAGCAGGCGUGUGCUUGCACUGCUAAUGGCUAGGUAGCUGAGUGUUUGAACGCAUCAAUAUUGUGUUUUGCGGCCACAACCAAACAUGUCACAGUAAUCUCAAUACUUCAACAUACUUUGGUAUGUCAAAACUGUGGUAUCUAGUACCCACUGACAAAAAUAUUGUGGUUUUCAAUACUUCAGUUUUUUUAAUAAGUCUUAUUCAAAGAUUGUCAAUAUUGAUGGGCGUCUCCUGCUCUCCCCCUUUUAUAUUUGGUUGUUUGGUCUCACACUGAAGCUGCUAGAUGUAAUGUGGACUCAGGGCCAGAACAGAGAAGAAGCAGAGCAGCUAGACUCGGUGUGUGUUCAAGGCAACAAAUGCCCUUUUUCCCACUGAACCACCAACACAUGCUAGCUCUGCUCUUUUGAUGUUCACUUACACAAAACACUGUAUCCACACCCGUGCACGCACACAGCCCACACUGUACUACACUAUUUGGGUACACACUCAGUACAAUAUCUUCAGCUUCUACAGUAGCUUGUCUGACUGGUUGUAUUUGGUUUCAAUGAAUUGAUAGGAACACAGCCAAAAGAACGCCGAUAACCGUAAGAAACAGAAGACAACACAAAAUUGGAUCAAAAUCUUACUCACAAGUAAGCUUUGAGAAGAGAAACUUGGAGCUCACCCACACGAACGACGGAACAUGGUCUAACACAGAGUCCUAGAAAGUUUAAUACAAAGCACGUCAAGAGGUUCAAAACAAAGAAACUGAAACUGAAGGUCCACUUUCAAGUAAGCAGAAAAACAAUAUUUUCUAGACCGCAUACAAAGACACUCUGAAAUGCAAGUCAUUGAAGCCUCGUGGGUACGGAUACAUGGCCAAACCUUCAACUAGUUCUCAAAGGUUUCGUAUCCAGAUUGAAGAGCAAGCUCGUGCUACAGCAGCCACCCAGCACCUGUUGUGAUACCUAUUUAUCACCACCAAAACAAGUAUGUUGCAAUUUCCUGUUACGACAAUUGGAAUAUUUGUUGCCAUAAGUUAAUGCCACAAGUGUAGUGGGUUGUGGCAAUAUGCCUAAUGCCGCGAAAACAAAUUUUAAAUUGUCGCAAUAGUUUCUCGCUACAAACAUUUCACCUGUUGUGAUAUCUAUUUAUCGCCACCAAAACAAGUAUGUUGCUA
Triticum dicoccoides is the source of this 3139-nucleotide long non-coding RNA. RefSeq lists it as uncharacterized. The transcript is spliced from 3 exons. NCBI's taxonomy places the organism in Eukaryota, Viridiplantae, Streptophyta, Magnoliopsida, Poales, Poaceae. The record is from RefSeq and is a predicted model, not a curated record.